This 495-nucleotide ribosomal RNA is filed under the name uncultured bacterium. Its description in RNAcentral is "partial 16S ribosomal RNA". It matches the Rfam family "Bacterial small subunit ribosomal RNA", at positions 28 to 507 of the family's 1533-position model. The record is from RNAcentral.
GACGAACGCUGGCGGCGUGCCUAAUACAUGCAAGUAGAACGCUGAAGGAGGAGCUUGCUUCUCUGGAUGAGUUGCGAACGGGUGAGUAACGCGUAGGUAACCUGCCUGGUAGCGGGGGAUAACUAUUGGAAACGAUAGCUAAUACCGCAUAAGAGUAGAUGUUGCAUGACAUUUGCUUAAAAGGUGCAAUUGCAUCACUACCAGAUGGACCUGCGUUGUAUUAGCUAGUUGGUGGGGUAACGGCCCACCAAGGCGACGAUACAUAGCCGACCUGAGAGGGUGAGCGGCCACACUGGGAAUGAGAGACGGCCCAGACUCCUACGGGAGGGGGCAGUAGGGAAACUACGGCAAUGGACGGAAGUCUGACCGGGAAACGCGGCGUGAGUGAAGAAGGUUUUCGGAUCGUGAAGAGCUGUUGUAAGAGAAGAACGGGUGUGAGAGUGGAAAGUUCACACUGUGACGGUAUCUUACCAGAAAGGGACGGCUAACUACGUG